Molecule: transfer RNA, 72 nt
Filed under: Lodderomyces pseudojiufengensis
Lineage: Eukaryota; Fungi; Ascomycota; Pichiomycetes; Serinales; Debaryomycetaceae
Description: Candida pseudojiufengensis tRNA-Ala
Rfam family: tRNA
About the family: Transfer RNA (tRNA) molecules are approximately 80 nucleotides in length. Their secondary structure includes four short double-helical elements and three loops (D, anti-codon, and T loops). Further hydrogen bonds mediate the characteristic L-shaped molecular structure. tRNAs have two regions of fundamental functional importance: the anti-codon, which is responsible for specific mRNA codon recognition, and the 3' end, to which the tRNAs corresponding amino acid is attached (by aminoacyl-tRNA synthetases). tRNAs cope with the degeneracy of the genetic code in two manners: having more than one tRNA (with a specific anti-codon) for a particular amino acid; and 'wobble' base-pairing, i.e. permitting non-standard base-pairing at the 3rd anti-codon position.
Source: RNAcentral
GGGACUAUAGAUUAAUUGGUAAAUCUUACGCUUUGCAUGCGUAUGUUAUCGGUUCAAUUCCGAUUGGUUCCA